This 441-nucleotide ribosomal RNA is filed under the name uncultured bacterium. RNAcentral's name for it is "partial 16S ribosomal RNA". It matches the Rfam family "Bacterial small subunit ribosomal RNA", at positions 338 to 795 of the family's 1533-position model. The record is from RNAcentral.
CCUACGGGAGGCAGCAGUGGGGGAUAUUGCACAAUGGGGGGAACCCUGAUGCAGCGACGCCGCGUGAGCGAUGGAGUACUUCGGUAUGUAAAGCUCUGUCAGCAGGGAAGAGAAUGACGGUACCUGACCAAGAAGCCCCGGCUAAAUACGUGCCAGCAGCCGCGGUAAUACGUAUGGGGCAAGCGUUAUCCGGAUUUACUGGGUGUAAAGGGAGCGUAGGCGGCAGGGCAAGCCUGAUGUGAAAGCGCGGGGCUCCACCCCGGGACUGCCUUGGGAACUGCCCCGCUCGAGUGCCGGAGGGGCAGGCGGAAUUCCUAGUGUAGCGGUGAAAUGCGUAGAUAUUAGGAGGAACACCAGUGGCGAAGGGGGGCUGCUGGACGGUGUACUGACGCUGAGGCUCGAAAGCGUGGGGAGCAAACAGGAUUAGAUACCCUGGUAGUC